UACGGAGGGUGCAAGCGUUGCUCGGAAUCACUGGGCGUAAAGGGUGCGUAGGCGGCCGCGCAAGUCUGGCGUGAAAGCCCCGGGCUCAGCCCGGGAAGGGCGCUCGAAACGGCGCGGCUCGAGUGCCGGAGGGGAGAGUGGAAUUCCUGGUGUAGCGGUGAAAUGCGUAGAUAUCAGGAGGAAUACCGGUGGCGAAAGCGACUCUCUGGACGGCAACUGACGCUGAGGCACGAAAGCGUGGGGAGCAAACAGG
RNAcentral lists this ribosomal RNA (253 nucleotides) under uncultured bacterium. RNAcentral describes it as "partial 16S ribosomal RNA". It matches the Rfam family "Bacterial small subunit ribosomal RNA", at positions 524 to 776 of the family's 1533-position model. The record is from RNAcentral.